CCUACGGGAGGCAGCAGUGGGGAAUAUUGCACAAUGGGGGAAACCCUGAUGCAGCGACGCCGCGUGAGUGAAGCAGUAUUUCGGUAUGUAAAGCUCUAUCAGCCGGGAAGAAAAUAACGGUACCUGACUAAGAAGCCACGGCUAACUACGUGCCAGCAGCCGCGGUAAUACUUAGGGGGCAAGCGUUAUCCGGAUUUACUUGGUGUAAAGGGAGCGUAGGCGGCGGAACAAGUCAGAAGUGAAAACCCCGGGCUCAACCCUGGGAGUGCUUGUGAAACUGUUGGGCUGGAGUGCAGGAGAGGUAAGCGGAAUUCCUAGUGUAGCGGUGAAAUGCGUAGAUAUUAGGAGGAACACCAGUGGCGAAGGCGGCUUACUGGACUGUAACUGACGUUGAGGCUCGAAAGCGUGGGGAGCAAACAGGAGUAGAUACCCGAGUAGUC
This 440-nucleotide ribosomal RNA is filed under the name uncultured bacterium. Its description in RNAcentral is "partial 16S ribosomal RNA". It matches the Rfam family "Bacterial small subunit ribosomal RNA", at positions 338 to 795 of the family's 1533-position model. The record is from RNAcentral.